RNAcentral lists this ribosomal RNA (846 nucleotides) under uncultured bacterium. RNAcentral describes it as "bacterial SSU rRNA". It matches the Rfam family "Bacterial small subunit ribosomal RNA", at positions 62 to 867 of the family's 1533-position model. The record is from RNAcentral.
UCGAGCGAGUCUGCCUUGAAGAUCGGAGUGCUUGCACUCUGUGAAACAAGAUACAGGCUAGCGGCGGACGGGUGAGUAACACGUGGGUAACCUGCCCAAGAGAUCGGGAUAACACCUGGAAACAGAUGCUAAUACCGGAUAACAACAGAUGAUGCCUAUCAACUGUUUAAAAGAUGGUUCUGCUAUCACUCUUGGAUGGACCUGCGGUGCAUUAGCUAGUUGGUAGGGUAACGGCCUACCAAGGCGAUGAUGCAUAGCCGAGUUGAGAGACUGAUCGGCCACAUUGGGACUGAGACACGGCCCAAACUCCUACGGGAGGCAGCAGUAGGGAAUCUUCCACAAUGGACGCAAGUCUGAUGGAGCAACGCCGCGUGAGUGAAGAAGGGUUUCGGCUCGUAAAGCUCUGUUGUUGGUGAAGAAGGACAGGGGUAGUAACUGACCUUUGUUUGACGGUAAUCAGUUAGAAAGUCACGGCUAACUACGUGCCAGCAGCCGCGGUAAUACGUAGGUGGCAAGCGUUGUCCGGAUUUAUUGGGCGUAAAGCGAGUGCAGGCGGCUCGAUAAGUCUGAUGUGAAAGCCUUCGGCUCAACCGGAGAAUUGCAUCAGAAACUGUCGAGCUUGAGUACAGAAGAGGAGAGUGGAACUCCAUGUGUAGCGGUGAAAUGCGUAGAUAUAUGGAAGAACACCGGUGGCGAAGGCGGCUCUCUGGUCUGUUACUGACGCUGAGGCUCGAAAGCAUGGGUAGCGAACAGGAUUAGAUACCCUGGUAGUCCAUGCCGUANACGACGAGUGCUAAGUGUUGGGAGGUUUCCGCCUCUCAGUGCUGCAGCUAACGCAUUAAGCAC